GGCGGUGUAGCUUAGUUGGUUAGAGCGCUCGGCUCAUACCCGGGAGGUCGAGGGUUCAAGUCCCUCUGCCGCUACCA
RNAcentral lists this transfer RNA (77 nucleotides) under Erysipelotrichaceae bacterium. RNAcentral's name for it is "tRNA-Met". It matches the Rfam family "tRNA". From Rfam's summary of the family: Transfer RNA (tRNA) molecules are approximately 80 nucleotides in length. Lineage: Bacteria; Bacillati; Bacillota; Erysipelotrichia; Erysipelotrichales; Erysipelotrichaceae. The record is from RNAcentral.